UUUUGUUAUUCCACUCGUGAUGUUGUGUUUCUCGUUUGAAUAUUUCUUAUCGUGAAAAAACUUGCCUCAAACUUGUUGAAAUUGGCAGCAAAAUUGAUUUUGCCUCAAUCUGGUACUGUUUGCUUCAUAUUUGUAUAUUUGUAAGUAUUUUGUUUGAUAUUUUUAUCUAGUUGAUUGUAUUUUGUUAUUUCACUCGUGAUGUUGUGUUUCUCGUUUGAAUAUUUCUUAUCGUGAAAAAACUUACCUCAAACUUGUUGAAAUAGGCGCUAGAAUUGAGCUCAACCUGGUACUGGUUG
This 296-nucleotide long non-coding RNA is filed under the name Ananas comosus (pineapple). Its description in RNAcentral is "long non-coding RNA (ACOM_LNC030778)". The record is from RNAcentral. Lineage: Eukaryota; Viridiplantae; Streptophyta; Magnoliopsida; Poales; Bromeliaceae.